CAUAAUUGAGUCGUUUAUAGGUGAGUCCUGAAGCAAAGAAGAAAGCUGCAGAUGCAAAGGCUAAGGGAGACGAGGCAUUUGACAGGAAGGAUUUUGCUGCGGCUAGAGAUGCUUAUACGCUAGUACCUAUUGGGCUUAUUGAAUUCUUCCUGUAUACCCAACACUAACCCUUCCCCAGUAAAAUACCUGCAAAAGGGAAAAAGAAAGAAGAUAAUGAUGAGAUGAAGUAGUCAUCCUCUUCAUGUUGCAAGUAAUUAAUAAUGUGUAUGCAUUACUUACUGAGCUCACUUGUGUUUGCUGAUACUCUGCAGGCAAUCAGUUCUGAUCCAACUGAUGGCACUCUGUUUUCCAAUAGAAGUGAUUGUUGGUUCCACCUGGGGCAAGGUGAAUCUGCCUUAACUGAUGCCAAGGCCUGCAAAAAACUUGGACAAGAUUUGGCAAAGGCUUAUUAUCGGGAAGGUGCAGCUAUACGUCUAUUGCAGGCAUGCUCCCCCUUCCUCUCCUGGAAUCAAAUUUUGCCAACUUAUAUACCUAUAUGUUCUGAUAUUCUAAUAUUUCCUUCUCAGAGGUUUGAAGAGGCAGCCAAUGCUUUCUAUAGGGGCAUCCAGAUCGACCCUAAUGAUGAGCUCAUAACUGCUUUACAGUAUGCUUGUUGAGACUUGGAAGUUGUUUGUUUAGCAACUGCAGAUGAUAUAUUUCUCUAGCAUCGAAGAACCGUACUCUAAUGCAGUAGUUUCUAUAUGAUUGCAGGGGUACUGUUGCUGAAAGGGAUGCUGAGGCUGCUAAAGAAAUUCAUGACAUGGAACUAGAAUUAAGUUGUGUCAUACAAGAGUUAGAAAGCACAUAAUGACAGAACCAAGUAGCCACUUCUUUUGCCCUUUUCUUUGGUAGUUGUAAAAAUGGAUCAUUUUGAUGUUUUGUUCUCUAGUGAUUUGUUCUGCUGCAAUUUAUAGACUCACUAUUUUUGUUAAUCUCAACUUUUCCCUUUUGCCUAAUUUUUCAAAAUUUAUUUUCAUUCCUGUUUAUUUUUUCCAAGUGGUGGACCAUACUUGGGGUACAGAACUUCUAAAAAAAUAUCUGUAAAAUAUUUAAGAUGUAACUGACCAAACUAAAUGUAGUAUUGUCGUGGAUAAAAUUAUGUCAUUUUGAUAUCAAAAAUCAAAAUUAUGUACACUCUAAACAGAAAGGUAAAGAUGAGCAAAAUAAUAUAGCACAACUAUUCAAUACAAAAGAUUAUUAUUGCAACAAGUGAAAACAUUUAUGCAGGUAAAAAUUAAAUGUAAAAAUACAGCCACAGGAGCUAUAACGACAGUUAAAAUAGUCUUGGAAUACAGCAACGUAAUGUCAGGGGGAUUAUAUUUCACUUGGACACUAACACUUUCCAGAAGCUUGACACAAACGGAGCAGGAUUUCAACAAGGUUACCUUAAUGUCAAGUAGCAGAUUGUUGAUUGUUAUGACAAUGUGAAUAUUCCUCUGCUAUCUGCAGUCGAACAAAAUACUGGCAACCUGUACAGUAUGACAUCUGAUUGUGCAAAACUAAAGAUCACUGGAAGAUUUGCACUCAGCAGAGAGUAUGAUACAUGCUUGAACGUAAAAACGAUAGCUACUGUAACUGCGAAAAGUUUAGAUGUACAGAGUGAUGACUUGAUAAUUCGAUAAAUACAAGACUCACCUAUUUAUCGAUGUCAAAUACAAAUUUAAUACUUGUCAAACGUGAGAUAAUAUAUAACUUAAGACUUCAAU
Molecule: long non-coding RNA, 1745 nt
Filed under: Solanum tuberosum (potato)
Lineage: Eukaryota; Viridiplantae; Streptophyta; Magnoliopsida; Solanales; Solanaceae
Description: long non-coding RNA (STUB_LNC002233)
Source: RNAcentral